This 253-nucleotide ribosomal RNA is filed under the name uncultured prokaryote. RNAcentral describes it as "partial 16S ribosomal RNA". It matches the Rfam family "Bacterial small subunit ribosomal RNA", at positions 524 to 776 of the family's 1533-position model. The record is from RNAcentral.
UACGUAGGUGGCAAGCGUUGUCCGGAAUUACUGGGCGUAAAGGGAGCGUAGGCGGUCUUUUAAGUGAGAUGUGAAAUACCCGGGCUCAACUUGGGAAUUGCAUUUCAAACUGGGAGACUAGAGUGCAGGAGAGGAAAGUGGAAUUCCCAGUGUAGCGGUGAAAUGCGUAGAGAUCGGGAGGAAGGCCGGUGGCGAAGGCGGCGCUCUGGAACGUUUCUGACGCUGAGGCUCGAAAGCGUGGGGAGCAAACAGG